UCCCAGGUGGCUCAGUGGUAAAGAAUCCGCCUGCAAUGCAGGAGACCCAGGUUUGAUCCCUGGGUUGGGAA
Molecule: transfer RNA, 71 nt
Filed under: Bos taurus (domestic cattle)
Lineage: Eukaryota; Metazoa; Chordata; Mammalia; Artiodactyla; Bovidae
Also listed under: 3 other names
Rfam family: tRNA
About the family: Transfer RNA (tRNA) molecules are approximately 80 nucleotides in length. Their secondary structure includes four short double-helical elements and three loops (D, anti-codon, and T loops).
Source: Rfam by way of RNAcentral